RNAcentral lists this non-coding RNA (32 nucleotides) under Homo sapiens (human). The record is from RNAcentral. Lineage: Eukaryota; Metazoa; Chordata; Mammalia; Primates; Hominidae.
CGCCCGAGCCCACUCCAUUCAGAUCAUGAAGG